UAUACUGCAAGUCGAGCGGACAGAAGGGAGCUUGCUCCCGGAUGUUAGCGGCGGACGGGUGAGUAACACGUGGGUAACCUGCCUGUAAGACUGGGAUAACUCCGGGAAACCGGAGCUAAUACCGGAUAGUUCCUUGAACCGCAUGGUUCAAGGAUGAAAGACGGUUUCGGCUGUCACUUACAGAUGGACCCGCGGCGCAUUAGCUAGUUGGUGGGGUAAUGGCUCACCAAGGCGACGAUGCGUAGCCGACCUGAGAGGGUGAUCGGCCACACUGGGACUGAGACACGGCCCAGACUCCUACGGGAGGCAGCAGUAGGGAAUCUUCCGCAAUGGACGAAAGUCUGACGGAGCAACGCCGCGUGAGUGAUGAAGGUUUUCGGAUCGUAAAGCUCUGUUGUUAGGGAAGAACAAGUGCGAGAGUAACUGCUCGCACCUUGACGGUACCUAACCAGAAAGCCACGGCUAACUACGUGCCAGCAGCCGCGGUAAUACGUAGGUGGCAAGCGUUGUCCGGAAUUAUUGGGCGUAAAGGGCUCGCAGGCGGUUUCUUAAGUCUGAUGUGAAAGCCCCCGGCUCAACCGGGGAGGGUCAUUGGAAACUGGGAAACUUGAGUGCAGAAGAGGAGAGUGGAAUUCCACGUGUAGCGGUGAAAUGCGUAGAGAUGUGGAGGAACACCAGUGGCGAAGGCGACUCUCUGGUCUGUAACUGACGCUGAGGAGCGAAAGCGUGGGGAGCGAACAGGAUUAGAUACCCUGGUAGUCCACGCCGUAAACGAUGAGUGCUAAGUGUUAAGGGGGUUUCCGCCCCUUAGUGCUGCAGCUAACGCAUUAAGCACUCCGCCUGGGGAGUACGGUCGCAAGACUGAAACUCAAAGGAAUUGACGGGGGCCCGCACAAGCGGUGGAGCAUGUGGUUUAAUUCGAAGCAACGCGAAGAACCUUACCAGGUCUUGACAUCCUCUGACAACCCUAGAGAUAGGGCUUUCCCUUCGGGGACAGAGUGACAGGUGGUGCAUGGUUGUCGUCAGCUCGUGUCGUGAGAUGUUGGGUUAAGUCCCGCAACGAGCGCAACCCUUGAUCUUAGUUGCCAGCAUUCAGUUGGGCACUCUAAGGUGACUGCCGGUGACAAACCGGAAGAAA
RNAcentral lists this ribosomal RNA (1138 nucleotides) under Bacillus safensis. RNAcentral's name for it is "bacterial SSU rRNA". It matches the Rfam family "Bacterial small subunit ribosomal RNA", at positions 50 to 1172 of the family's 1533-position model. The record is from RNAcentral. Lineage: Bacteria; Bacillati; Bacillota; Bacilli; Caryophanales; Bacillaceae.